CAUGUCCUUUUGAUAUUUAAUUUAAGGUCUAACCUGCCCAAUGAUUAUAAAUUAAAUGGCCGCGGUAUUUUGACCGUGCAAAGGUAGCAUAAUCAUUAGUUUUUUAAUUGAAAGCUGGAAUGAAGGGUUGAAUGAGAAAAUUACUGUCUUUUAUAUAUUUAAUUAGAAUUUUAUUUUUAAGUUAAAAAGCUUAAAUUUAAUUUAUAGACGAGAAGACCCUUUAGAGUUUUAUAAAUUUAUAUAUAAAAUUUUUUAGUAAUAACUUAAUUUUAUAUAUUUUUUUUAUUUAAUUGGGGUGAUUGAAAAAUUUAAAAAACUUUUUUUUUUAUUUUACAUUUAUAUAUGAAUAAUUGAUCCAUUAUUUAUGAUUAUAAGAUUAAAUUACCUAAGGGAUAACAGCGUUAUUUUUUUUGAGAGUUCAAAUCGAAAAAAAAGUUUGCGACCUCGAUGUUGGAUUAAAAUUAAAUUAUGGUGUAGAGGCUAUAAUCUGA
Molecule: ribosomal RNA, 491 nt
Filed under: Thymogethes ahriman
Lineage: Eukaryota; Metazoa; Arthropoda; Insecta; Coleoptera; Nitidulidae
Description: partial 16S ribosomal RNA
Source: RNAcentral